This is a long non-coding RNA of Nothoprocta perdicaria, 1041 nucleotides long. RefSeq lists it as uncharacterized. The transcript is spliced from 3 exons. NCBI's taxonomy places the organism in Eukaryota, Metazoa, Chordata, Aves, Tinamiformes, Tinamidae. The record is from RefSeq and is a predicted model, not a curated record.
CAGUCCCGCGCUAUGGAUACCCUGGUGCACUUGGAAACCAUGCUUCCCUUCCCCCAUGGGCCGCAUCAAUAAAGAUACAGGAUCUCGCUCGCAAGUUCUCCUCUAAUAACCUUGGGUGUUCAGAGCGUUGAACACUGCGGGUACUCGAGUCCAAAUAGACUCAACUCUGGGAUUUUUUGUUUCCUCUUGCUUGAGGUGGCUGAGCAAUUCGUUACUGUGUAUAGAUUAUUAGGCAGAAGCUCGCUAUUACAUUGUAAAGUUCCUGUCAAGUCUAGAUACUUAAAGGUUCUUUCACAGUUGCAUAGAGACUAAAAUGAUACAAGUUUCGUAUUUGUGGCACACUUGAAAACAAUGUUGUCCAUGUGAAAUGGCUGGUUUGAAAAGGGCYUUUUCCAUUUCCUAGCUUUUGCUCCAGAUCUUGGGUUUAAUAAUGACUUUCUCAUUUGUGGUUUCAGAAGCUUUGCGCAGUCAUGGUUGGAAAUACCUGGAAUUCAGUAUGUCUUAUAAUGCCCUUGUCUUUUUUUAUGCUGUUUAGGUUUCCCAGUGACUUAAUAUUUAAAAUGUUGAACAUGUGAAGAAUCAGACUAAGAUGAAGAAUCACGCCUAAACUAUAAGCAAUGUUCAAUUUCCUCAGAAUGAAAAUGCCUUAUGCCAGAGGAGCUAAAGUGUGUUGGUGCUUGUCAACUGUGUAAAUACACUUCAUGAAUCUUGUGAAAAGUUUGUGAUCUGGGAUAAACAACUUGAGGGAAGAGCUGCUUGUAAUUUGAUCUGUCUGCAGGAAACCAGCAUAUGCAAGGAACUGGGACUUGGUGUAAAACAUCAUGAUGUGGUGAGUGGUUGAUAACUGAUACCAUCUUGGGUAACUUCCCAUGUGCUCUGCAAUAUCCUACCUUGAAAAAGGGUUUGAGACAAGUAAUGSCUAAAACUACACAGCUUCACUGUUCAUGUUUAGGUAAGUAUCUAGCCAUUUGGUUGAACUGAGAUUUCAUAAUAAAACUUUUCUAGUCUGUAUUAACUAAAAUAAAACAUGAAUUGCUAUCC